GGGGACCAUCCUCCAAGGCUAAAUACUCCUGACUGACCGAUAGUGAACCAGUACCGUGAGGGAAAGGCGAAAAGAACCCCGGCGAGGGGAGUGAAAAAGAACCUGAAACCGUGUACGUACAAGCAGUGGGAGCCUCUUUUAUGGGGUGACUGCGUACCUUUUGUAUAAUGGGUCAGCGACUUAUAUUCUGUAGCAAGGUUAACCGAAUAGGGGAGCCGAAGGGAAACCGAGUCUUAACUGGGCGUUAAGUUGCAGGGUAUAGACCCGAAACCCGGUGAUCUAGCCAUGGGCAGGUUGAAGGUUGGGUAACACUAACUGGAGGACCGAACCGACUAAUGUUGAAAAAUUAGCGGAUGACUUGUGGCUGGGGGUGAAAGGCCAAUCAAACCGGGAGAUAGCUGGUUCUCCCCGAAAGCUAUUUAGGUAGCGCCUCGUGAAUUCAUCUCCGGGGGUAGAGCACUGUUUCGGCAAGGGGGUCAUCCCGACUUACCAACCCGAUGCAAACUGCGAAUACCGGAGAAUGUUAUCACGGGAGACACACGGCGGGUGCUAACGUCCGUCGUGAAGAGGGAAACAACCCAGACCGCCAGCUAAGGUCCCAAAGUCAUGGUUAAGUGGGAAACGAUGUGGGAAGGCCCAGACAGCCAGGAUGUUGGCUUAGAAGCAGCCAUCAUUUAAAGAAAGCGUAAUAGCUCACUGGUCGAGUCGGCCUGCGCGGAAGAUGUAACGGGGCUAAACCAUG
Molecule: ribosomal RNA, 742 nt
Filed under: Escherichia coli
Lineage: Bacteria; Pseudomonadati; Pseudomonadota; Gammaproteobacteria; Enterobacterales; Enterobacteriaceae
Description: partial 23S ribosomal RNA
Rfam family: Bacterial large subunit ribosomal RNA
Source: RNAcentral